AUGAUGACAAGUUUCAUGGUUAUCAUUAUUAUUUAUAGCCAAAUUCAUAUUCAUAAUACUCAAUCGACACAAAGAACUAUAAAGAGACCCCAAAGUUUCCAUUGGAGAAAAACGUGCACCAACCCCUAUGCAUAG
Molecule: ribosomal RNA, 135 nt
Filed under: Triticum aestivum (bread wheat)
Lineage: Eukaryota; Viridiplantae; Streptophyta; Magnoliopsida; Poales; Poaceae
Description: partial small subunit ribosomal RNA
Source: RNAcentral